GAUGAACGCUGGCGACGUGCCUAAUACAUGCAAGUCGAGCGAACGGACGAGAAGCUUGCUUCUCUGAUGUUAGCGGCGGACGGGUGAGUAACACGUGGAUAACCUACCUAUAAGACUGGGAUAACUUCGGGAAACCGGAGCUAAUACCGGAUGAUAUUUUGAACCGCAUGGUUCAAAAGUGAAAGACGGUCUUGCUGUCACUUAUAGAUGGAUCCGCGCUGCAUUAGCUAGUUGGUAAGGUAACGGCUUACCAAGGCAACGAUGCAUAGCCGACCUGAGAGGGUGAUCGGCCACACUGGAACUGAGACACGGUCCAGACUCCUACGGGAGGCAGCAGUAGGGAAUCUUCCGCAAUGGGCGAAAGCCUGACGGAGCAACGCCGCGUGAGUGAUGAAGGUCUUCGGAUCGUAAAACUCUGUUAUUAGGGAAGAACAUAUGUGUAAGUAACUGUGCACAUCUUGACGGUACCUAAUCAGAAAGCCACGGCUAACUACGUGCCAGCAGCCGCGGUAAUACGUAGGUGGCAAGCGUUAUCCGGAAUUAUUGGGCGUAAAGCGCGCGUAGGCGGUUUUUUAAGUCUGAUGUGAAAGCCCACGGCUCAACCGUGGAGGGUCAUUGGAAACUGGAAAACUUGAGUGCAGAAGAGGAAAGUGGAAUUCCAUGUGUAGCGGUGAAAUGCGCAGAGAUAUGGUGGAACACCAGUGGCGAAGGCGACUUUCUGGUCUGUAACUGACGCUGAUGUGCGAAAGCGUGGGGAUCAAACAGGAUUAGAUACCCUGGUAGUCCACGCCGUAAACGAUGAGUGCUAAGUGUUAGGGGGUUUCCGCCCCUUAGUGCUGCAGCUAACGCAUUAAGCACUCCGCCUGGGGAGUACGACCGCAAGGUUGAAACUCAAAGGAAUUGACGGGGACCCGCACAAGCGGUGGAGCAUGUGGUUUAAUUCGAAGCAACGCGAAGAACCUUACCAAAUCUUGACAUCCUUUGACAACUCUAGAGAUAGAGCCUUCCCCUUCGGGGGGGACAAAGUGACAGGUGGUGCAUGGUUGUCGUCAGCUCGUGUCGUGAGAUGUUGGGUUAAGUCCCGCAACGAGCGCAACCCUUAAGCUUAGUUGCCAUCAUUAAGUUGGGCACUCUAAGUUGACUGCCGGUGACAAACCGGAGGAAGGUGGGGAUGACGUCAAAUCAUCAUGCCCCUUAUGAUUUGGGCUACACACGUGCUACAAUGGACAAUACAAAGGGCAGCGAAACCGCGAGGUCAAGCAAAUCCCAUAAAGUUGUUCUCAGUUCGGAUUGUAGUCUGCAACUCGACUACAUGAAGCUGGAAUCGCUAGUAAUCGUAGAUCAGCAUGCUACGGUGAAUACGUUCCCGGGUCU
RNAcentral lists this ribosomal RNA (1374 nucleotides) under uncultured bacterium. RNAcentral's name for it is "bacterial SSU rRNA". It matches the Rfam family "Bacterial small subunit ribosomal RNA", at positions 28 to 1381 of the family's 1533-position model. The record is from RNAcentral.